UAGUGGAGUAAAGUCGUACCAGCUUUCCGUAGGUGACCUGCGGAGGGAUCAUAU
Molecule: ribosomal RNA, 54 nt
Filed under: Hebeloma submelinoides
Lineage: Eukaryota; Fungi; Basidiomycota; Agaricomycetes; Agaricales; Hymenogastraceae
Description: partial 18S ribosomal RNA
Source: RNAcentral